RNAcentral lists this ribosomal RNA (559 nucleotides) under Pantoea sp. RNAcentral's name for it is "bacterial SSU rRNA". It matches the Rfam family "Bacterial small subunit ribosomal RNA", at positions 75 to 631 of the family's 1533-position model. Lineage: Bacteria; Pseudomonadati; Pseudomonadota; Gammaproteobacteria; Enterobacterales; Erwiniaceae. The record is from RNAcentral.
CUUGCUCUUUGGGUGGCGAGUGGCGGACGGGUGAGUAAUGUCUGGGGAUCUGCCCGRUAGAGGGGGAUAACCACUGGAAACGGUGGCUAAUACCGCAUAACGUCGCAAGACCAAAGAGGGGGACCUUCGGGCCUCUCACUAUCGGAUGAACCCAGAUGGGAUUAGCUAGUAGGUGGGGUAACGGCUCACCUAGGCGACGAUCCCUAGCUGGUCUGAGAGGAUGACCAGCCACACUGGAACUGAGACACGGUCCAGACUCCUACGGGAGGCAGCAGUGGGGAAUAUUGCACAAUGGGCGCAAGCCUGAUGCASCCAUGCCGCGUGUAUGAAGAAGGCCUUCGGGUUGUAAAGUACUUUCAGCGGGGAGGAAGGGAUGAAGCUUAAUACGCUUCGUCAUUGACGUUACCCGCAGAAGAAGCACCGGCUAACUCCGUGCCAGCAGCCGCGGUAAUACGGAGGGUGCAAGCGUUAAUCGGAAUUACUGGGCGUAAAGCGCACGCAGGCGGUCUGUCAAGUCRGAUGUGAAAUCCCCGGGCUUAACCUGGGAACUGCAUUCGAA